UACGUAGGUCCCGAGCGUUGUCCGGAUUUAUUGGGCGUAAAGCGAGCGCAGGUGGUUUAUUAAGUCUGGUGUAAAAGGCAGUGGCUCAACCAUUGUAUGCAUUGGAAACUGGUAGACUUGAGUGCAGGAGAGGAGAGUGGAAUUCCAUGUGUAGCGGUGAAAUGCGUAGAUAUAUGGAAGAACACCAGUGGCGAAGGCGGCUCUCUGGUCUGCAACUGACGCUGAGGCUCGAAAGCAUGGGUAGCGAACAGG
RNAcentral lists this ribosomal RNA (252 nucleotides) under uncultured bacterium. RNAcentral describes it as "partial 16S ribosomal RNA". It matches the Rfam family "Bacterial small subunit ribosomal RNA", at positions 524 to 776 of the family's 1533-position model. The record is from RNAcentral.